GAUUCGGCUAGCUCAGCGCGAAGAUGGGGGAGAUCACCAAUGUCACGGAGUACCAGGCCAUCGCGAAGCAGAAGCUUCCGAAGAUGAUCUACGACUACUAUGCAUCUGGGGCCGAGGACGAGUGGACUCUCCAGGAGAACAGGGAGGCCUUCGCCAGGAUCCUGUUUCGCCCACGCAUACUGAUCGACGUAUCCAAGAUUGACAUGGCCACAACAGUCCUGGGGUUCAAG
Molecule: unclassified non-coding RNA, 230 nt
Filed under: Hevea brasiliensis (rubber tree)
Lineage: Eukaryota; Viridiplantae; Streptophyta; Magnoliopsida; Malpighiales; Euphorbiaceae
Source: RNAcentral